CCUACGGGGGUCAGCAGUGGGGAAUAUUGCGCAAUGGGCGAAAGCCUGACGCAGCGACGCCGCGUGAGGGAUGAAGGUCUUCGGAUCGUAAACCUCUGUCAGCCGGUAAGAACGGUCACUGUGCUAAUCAGCAGUGAAUUGACGGUACCUGCAAAGGAAGCACCGGCUAACUCCGUGCCAGCAGCCGCGGUAAGACGGAGGGUGCGAUCGUUAAUCGGAAUUCCUGGGCGUGAGGCGGUCGUAGGCGGGAUGUCAAGUCAAGGGUGAAAUCCCCGCGCUCAACGUGGGAACUGCCUUUGAAACUGGCAAACUGGAGUGUGUGAGAGGAUAGUGGAAUUCCAGGUGUAGGAGUGAAAUCCGUAGAUAUCGGGAGGAACAUCAGUGGCGAAGGCGACUAUCUGGCACAUAACUGACGCUGAGGAGCGAAAGCGUGGGUAGCAAACAGGAUUAGAUACCCUUGUAGUC
Molecule: ribosomal RNA, 465 nt
Filed under: uncultured bacterium
Lineage: Bacteria
Description: partial 16S ribosomal RNA
Rfam family: Bacterial small subunit ribosomal RNA
Source: RNAcentral